Molecule: long non-coding RNA, 352 nt
Filed under: Dasypus novemcinctus (nine-banded armadillo)
Lineage: Eukaryota; Metazoa; Chordata; Mammalia; Cingulata; Dasypodidae
Description: lncRNA (ENSDNOG00000051970.1)
Source: RNAcentral
AGCCUUCAGAUUUGAUUGGUUAAAGCUUUGCCCGGUUUCCUUUCUCCUUCAUACUCCCAAUUAGAGCUUCACUCUCUCCUAAUUUUCCCGUUGCUCGUACCUCUAGCUUCGGGUUUUAGAUCCAGGUGAGGGGCGGGAAUACGGGAAAAAGAACGAAUCGGAAUGAAAACAGGCAAUGGUAGCCGAUUGGGGUCUUAUCUCAUGGGACUACGCUGCGCGUUCCUGGAGGGGUGCGCCUGCGCAUUGUUCUGGUCUCCAUGGCGCGGCCUCGGAGCCAAGUCGAGAGAAAUGGCUACUUCGAAGACAUAAUUAUAGCUUUGACAUAAACGAAGCUACAACUAUCAUGACUUAG